UGAGGAAUAUUGGUCAAUGGACGCAAGUCUGAACCAGCCAAGUAGCGUGCAGGAUGACGGCCCUCCGGGUUGUAAACUGCUUUAGUUCGGGAAUAACGACGGGGACGUGUCCCUGGAACGAAUGUACCGAAAGAAUAAGGACCGGCUAAUUCCGUGCCAGCAGCCGCGGUAAUACGGAAGGUCCGGGCGUUAUCCGGAUUUAUUGGGUUUAAAGGGAGCGUAGGCGGACUGUUAAGUCAGCGGUUAAAGAGUGUGGCUCAACCAUGCGAUGCCGUUGAAACUGGUGGUCUUGAGUGCACACAGGGAUGCUGGAACUCGUGGUGUAGCGGUGAAAUGCUUAGAUAUCACGAUGAACUCCGAUCGCGAAGGCAGGUGUCCGGGGUGUAACUGACGCUGAGGCUCGAAAGUGUGGGUAUCAAACA
This 422-nucleotide ribosomal RNA is filed under the name uncultured Prevotella sp. Its description in RNAcentral is "bacterial SSU rRNA". It matches the Rfam family "Bacterial small subunit ribosomal RNA", at positions 355 to 774 of the family's 1533-position model. The record is from RNAcentral. Lineage: Bacteria; Pseudomonadati; Bacteroidota; Bacteroidia; Bacteroidales; Prevotellaceae.